GUUCCAGAGGGUCAUUCCACCAUGGCAGGUGAAGACAUGGGAACAUGGAAGGAAAGCAUACAGGUCGGGGAGAUACAAUCAUGAAGAGUAAAAAGCAUCUUAGAGCAGAAAUUUCCAGUAUUGAGCUGCACAUAAAGGAACUGCAAAGCCUUCAAGUGAUUGCCAGAUGCGCAGGAGAAGCUCCUCUGGAGGCACAACAUGAAGUAGAGGCUCGAGGCAGAGACCAAUAAAUCCCAGGAGCUUGCUAGACAGCCGAAAUAGCCAAACGAAUGGACUCCGGGUUGACUGAGAGACCUUCACUCAAAAAAAUAUGUAA
This is a non-coding RNA of Peromyscus maniculatus bairdii (prairie deer mouse), 316 nucleotides long. Lineage: Eukaryota; Metazoa; Chordata; Mammalia; Rodentia; Cricetidae. The record is from RefSeq and is a predicted model, not a curated record.